GCGCGGGGACAGCCAUCGGCCUCUUCAAAGCCCGCUGCCCCACACGUGCCCCGCUUCUCCCCAACAUCUGCCGUCACCUCUUCCACCUCCUUGUGUUCUCCCUUCUCCAGGCUGGGUUCCUGCAGGGUCUGCUGCCCCCCAGCCCCACCCCUGCCCCCCUUCUUCUGGAGAAGGCCCUGAGCUCCGUCCAGACCGUCUCAGCUGCCCUCCUAGGGAGGCGCCGAGUGUGAGAUGCGCUCGGGAUGAAGGAGAGACUGGUCUUUUCCGCCCCGUCCUCCCUUCCCGCCCUCUCUGUGUGCUACCCCAGGCGACAUUGCAGGACCCUUCUGUUAACUGGGCGGGGCCCCAUGUUCGGGGACCUGUGCACGUAUUGUAGCCUGUGGGCAUCCCGUGUGUGCCGAGGCAUUUAUGAAUUUGUGAGUGUGUGCAGACGGGAGCGUUUAGUGUCCAAAGGGAUGCUAACGCGGUUGUCGGCGGAUUUAAUCAAAGGAAGCAGCUGGGGCCCCGGCAGAGAGCAGAACAAGAGAUGGGCCUUUCAUGUAAACUGUCUUCUGACCUCUUUAAGUUUGAGAUGGGAGUGGAAACCGAAGGCCUGUCUUCAGGGUAUAUCCUGCCCCACGGUGAAGCCAAUGGUGUUGCAGGAGCAAAUGGAGGCCGUCAUUACUGUUAUUAAUAACCGUUUACUCACCGUGCACAGUGUGCAGCCAGGCUCUUCGCACAGAGCGUCGCGGCCUCCCCACGUAGAGAAGGCGGGCCACGCAGUAUCGAUCUGGACCGGUUUUUCUUCCUGCGUCUCGUGUUAAGCUUCAGUGGUCCUGUUGGUACAAAUGUACAGCAAGCGAAAUCAGAGAGCGUGCUUAGCGCUGUUAUCUCACGUGCUUGUUUUCCACCUUGAAAAAUGCAGACAGCACAGUGUGGAUGGCAUAUGCCAGCCCCCAGCUUAUUAAGUCCAGAUAUCUUCCCGGCAACCACAGAUGCUCUAAGUAUGCGUCCACGCUUCUGCUUAUACAGAAGCAUGUGUGGGUGGCUCAGUCAGUUAAGCGUCCGACUUCGGCUCAGGUCACGAUCUCACGGGUCGUGACUUUGAGCCCCGCGAAGCGCUCCCUACUGUCAGCACAGAGCUCCCUUUGGAUUCUCUGUCCCCACCCCCUCUCCCCCCUGCUCGCUCUCUCUUUCUCUCUCUCAAAAUAAACAAACUUAAAAAAAUACAAACAGGAUCACGUUAUACACACUGUUCAGCCUCUCACUGUUUUUACUUACAGUAUCUCUGGAGAUGCCCUCCUGUCAGCAUGUGUGGGGCCACCUCAGGCUGGCACCAGAGCCUUGUCCCCCGGAUGCGCUGUCCAGCACCCACACUGUCUCCGUCGGGUGGUCCUUGGGCCCUUCUCUCUCAGCUCUAGCACAGAUACCACAGGAUGCACCUUUGUUCAGUACCGACGACAUCGGAGCGUAUCCCUUGAGAUUAAUGUCUUGAAGGGGAGUUGCACGUAUAUACAUUUUCAUAAUUAUUGCCAGAUUGCUAGCCAGAGAGAGGCCCCGAGUAGGUCUCCCAGCGUGGAGCUCGGAAGCCCUGAGCCGGGACUGACCUCCGAGUUGCUGAGCACCAGUUCUCUGGACCCUCUGCACAGGCAGGCAGACCUCCAAAGCUCAAGGUUUUCUGGGUGUCCUUCCAGUGGUCGUGUAUGUGUGCUGAGGUCAUGUGCGUGCUCGCUCCCUUAAUCCCCCAAAUAGUCCGGAAAAUCUCCCCGGGCUGGGACGUGUGGGUCCCGGGAGCACUGGAAGUGCUUGGGGAGGUGCAGGCCCCACAGCGAUGGCCGUGUCUGGCCAAGGAAAUCAGAGAUGUGUCCCCUUCUCGCCUUCCAGACACGGGCGUCCACGUUCAUGCAGGAGUCCGGCUGGGGAGGAGGGAUGCAGACCCCGAACAAGCCGGCCCCGACUCUUGUGUGGCUCGGAGGCCGUGGUUGGAACAAGGGGAAGGGUGGCUCUGUGUGCGCUUGGCUGGCUCAUGCCAAGGUCAGUACGUCCGUUUCUGCUUUCAAAUAGCUUCAGUGCACCCAUGGUCAGAAAUACAGUUUCCAUCCCCUUCCGGGACCACGUACCCAAAGCCUCACAGAAUCAUACCUACUUUGGCCAUACGUGUGAGCUUUGACCUACCCGACCCUCCCCCUCCCCUCGCUUCCCCUCCCCUCCUUUCUUUCUCCUUCUCUUCCCAGAAGCAAUGGUGAUCCACUAAAUUGGGUUCACAGCCCAUGGAGGGGCCCCUACCUGCCGAGGGAAAAGUAUGCUGUGCUCCCCCAGUGUUCUUGUGAUGAGAGGCGCAGUGUUGAUUCAAGCCACCCAAGGUUAAAAGUGGCUGAAUCUCACUGCUCUGUUAUCACUCCUCUGUCCUCACCCGUGUCCGCCCCCGCCGUUUGGCCUUCCUCCGGCCAGCUGGCCAUGGCUGGGCGCCCUGCACGGGUCUGACAUGAAGGAGGCCCCGUGGGCCCAGAGUGACGCUCUCAGACCUGGUGGCUCCUUCCCCCAUCUGUGUGACGUCUGCAAGGGAUGGGCUGUGGAUCAGACGGUCACCCAGGGCACAGGUGAGUGGUCCGUGCGUGUGGAAGCCUUCUUCCCAGGAAGGGCGAGGAGGAGGAAGAGAAGGACACUGACACUGAAGGAAGGUUAUUGUCACAACAGUUGUGUCCUCCCACUUGGCCAUGGAAGCGGAUCCGGAGAAGCUGAGUCCCGGCCAAGGGCCCAGGCUGGCGGAACUGGCUUGGGGCUGGGCUGCCUUGCCCCAAGCUGGAGAGCCGGCUGCGGCUGUCCUUCCGUGGACAGCCCUUUUCCUCUGCAGCUGCUGGUGUGGCUCUGGCCGUGUAGUUAGUACGCGCCGGUCGGGCUGUGGACAGCCCAGGAACACGCCGUGCGCGUGGCCUUUCAGAGCGGCCUGCUGGCACCGUGGAGCCGGGAGACGUCCGUUUCUUUUGGGAGCAAAGCAGCGCCGAUCUGUAACCACACACUUGGAAAUGGGACACUGCCCUCUAAGGACACCUCAGUUGACCGGACGGCCGCCUGUCCCCGAAGAUGUCCUCUGAGGUGGGCAGCCCACGACCGGCCUCCUGCAGCCCCUGUCCACUCCACCCUCUCGGCACAUGGCUCCUACCCCUGGAGUGGCGGGGGUGGGUCAUGGCAGAUGGGGCCCUCGGGAACCGCUCGCUCAGACGGAGGAGGCUGAGGUCCAGUUGGGCUUUGCAAAAAGAGCUCUGGGAUGGAUGCUGGGAUGUCGUCUCUCAAGAUUGCUGUGAAGAGGUGAGCAAUCCCAGCCGUAGGAGCAGAAGGUAAAGGAGUAGGACGGAGAGGGAGCAGGGAGAGAGACUGCUUCCGGUCCUGGGCCAGGGCCUCAUGAGAGGCGAAACCCUGUGCUUACAUCCCCAGGCUUUUGCGGGGCACGAGACGUGGAACGCGCUGCCACCGGACCAGCCACGAGCAAGCUUCUCAGCUCCCGUGUCUUCCUCCAGGGCCGUUAAUGAUACGGAUCUGAGAUACUUUGAGGUUCCCCUCUCAGUCGCUGCAGCUUGAACUAUGUGGAACCUGUGAGUCCUAACCAAUAGAGUGUAACCAAGGAGAGGACAUGUGCCUUCCCAGACCACAUAACAUCAUCUAACACGCCGUCUUAGCAGACUGGUGUGAAAGACAUUCUUUCUUCCACUGGCCUUGACGAUGCAAACGGCCAUGUUGUGACCUGCCUGUGGAACCGAGGUGGCCUCCAGUGACAGCCUGUAGGAAUCAUAGUGCUCAAGGAGAUAAAUUCUGGAGCUGGAGCUCUUAGCCAGUGUGUUCAUAAACACAAUGUGUUACGAGGUAGGACACCUGAAUUAUGACCGUUGUUUAUCUCACUUGUCCGAGAGUCUGACACCGGGCUGCACAGACUUUAGCAGCAGACCAUUCAUGAGCUCAUGCGGCAGGCGAGGAGCUGUGAAUUUCUUCCCUUCGUGGGUGGGAUGGAGCCCCCCCUGCACGCAAGGACUGUUUCUUGAUAAAGAAGAGGCUGGGAGGAGACUCCGGAAGACCUCCCUGCCCUUCCUCUGUUGUGCUCCCUGGUGCGGGAGCCUGGUCCCUGCACCCUGCAUCGCUCCAGACCCCUUGCUGGUGGAUCGAGCUAGUGCUGCUUGUCGUGGAUGAACGUCCACAUCCCAACCCCCAGAACCUGGGAAUGCUAUUCUGUACGGCAAAGGGGACUUUGCAGCUGGGAUUAGGUUAAGCAUCAUGAGAUGGGGAGGCUGUCUGGAUGAUCCAGGUGGGCCCAAAGUAACAAUAAGUGUCCUUAUGGGGGAACGACAGGCAGGAGAUCAGAAGAGGAAGUGGGAAAGUCACAAUGGAGGUAAGAGGUUGGGGUGAUGUGAGGGAGGGGCUACACACCAGACAAUGUGGGUGGACCCAGAAGCAGAAAAGACAGGAAAGGGAUUCUCCCCUGGUGCCUGCGGAAGGAACCCCCGGCGACUCCUUGACUUUAGCCCAGUGAGACCGAUUUCAAAAUUCUGGUCUCCAGCACUGUAAGAAAAUACAUUUGUGUUGUUUUCAGUGUGUGGUGAUUUCUUACUUGCAGCGACAGGAAACAUACAGCUGCCCUUUCUGCAAGAGGAAUACCUCUCUUGCCUACCGCCACGGGGCUGAUGGGGACCCUGUGUGGACGGAGCUCUCUCAUCCGUGUUGGGCUGGGCCAUGUGACUUGUGUCGUCCCAUGAAGUGUGGGCCCUUCCAGGGCCCGGCACAGCCUCCUUGGUGGUCCUUGACCCGCCCUGACCCCCCUUGUCUGCCAUGAGGACAGCACACCUGCUCUUCAGCCCAGACCCAGGUGUGAUGGGCACUGGAGCAGAGUGAGAAAUAGGCCUUCCUUGUGAGCCACCGAGGUGGUUUGUCCCUGUGCACAGCCAGGCUUCUGGCCUGGGUCGGCCCGUGGGCGGCAUUGGAAGGAGGGUUGCAGCAGCCAGGGUGUCUUUGCUGCUUGUCAACCCCAGCAGGUGUUCCAGGACCCUCUCCCCUCCCUUCAGCCCCAGCAGGUGUCCCAGGACCCUCUCCCCUCUCCCCUCUCUUCAACCCCAGAGCCGGCCCUGUACCCUCUCCCCUCCCUUCAGCCCCAGCAGGUGUCCCAGUACCCUCUUCCCUCCCUUCAGCCCCAACAGGUAUCCCUGGACCCCCUCCCCUCUCCCCUCCCUUCAGCCCCAACAGGUGUCCCAGGACCCUCUCCCUUCUCUCCUCUCUUCAACCCCAGAGUUGUCCCUGGACCCUCUCUCUUCUCUUCAGCCCCAGCAGGUGUCCCUGGACCCUCUCCCCUCCCUUCAGCCCCAACAGGUAUCCCUGGACCCUCUCCCUUCUCCCCUCUCUUCAACCCCAGAGUUGUCCCUGGACUCUCUCUCCUCUCUUCAGCCCCAGGAGGUGUCCCCGGACCCUCUCCCCUCCCUUCAGCCCCAGCAGGUGUCUCAGGACCCUCUCCCCUCCUUUCAGCCCCAACAGGUGUCCCAGGACCCUCUCCCCUCCUUUCAGCCCCAACAGGUAUCCCAGGACCCUCUCCCCUCCCUUCAGCCCCAGCAGGUGUCCCAGGACCCUCUCCCCUCCCUUCAGCCCCAGCAGGUGUCCCAGGACCCUCUCCCCUCCCUUCAGCCCCAGCAGGUGUCUCUGGACCCUCUCCCCUCCCUUCAGCCCCAGCAGGUGUCCCCGGACCCUCUCCCCUCCCUUCAGCCCCAACAGGUGUCUCAGGACCCUCUCCCCUCCCUUCAGCCCCAGCAGGUGUCCCAGGACCCUCUCCCCUCCCUUCAGCCCCAACAGGUAUCCCUGCACCCUCUCCCCUCACCCUUCUCUUCAGCCCCAGCAGGUGUCCCAGGACCCUCUCCCCUCCCUUCAGCCCCAGCAGGUGUCCCAGGACCCUCUCCCCUCCCUUCAGCCCCAACAGGUAUCCCUGCACCCUCUCCCCUCACCCUUCUCUUCAGCCCCAGCAGGUGUCCCAGGACCCUCUCCCCUCCCUUCAGCCCCAGCAGGUGUCCCAGGACCCUCUCCCCUCCCUUCAGCCCCAACAGGUAUCCCUGCACCCUCUCCCCUCACCCCUCCCUUCAGCCCCAGGUGGUGUCUCUGGACCCUCUCCCCUCCCUUCAGCCCCAGCAGGUGUCCCAGGAGCCUCUCCCUUCCCUUCAGCCCCAGGUGGUGUCUCUGGACCCUCUCCCCUCCCUUCAGCCCCAGCAGGUGUCCCUGGACCCUCUCCCCUCCCUUCAGCCCCAGCAGGUGUCCCUGGACCCUCUCCCCUCCCUUCAGCCCCAGCAGGUGUCCCAGGACCAGGACCCUCUCCCCUCCCUUCAGCCCCAGGAGGUGUCCCUGGACCCUCUCCCCUCUCCCCUGCCUUCAGCCCCAGCAGGUGUCCCUGGACCCUCUCCUCUCUCUUCAGCCCCAGGAGGUAUUUCUGGCAGCUGCUAUGUGCUGGCUGUGGUUCCAGCUUUUGCCUUGUGGCCCCUCCUGAGGACCAGCUCCUGCAGGGGACCUGGCCUCUGGGCUCCACUAACCUCUGCCUCUCUCUGGUAGUCCUCCCAUCCCGGGGGAGGGUUCUCCUGCUUUAGCCAAUCCUUGGGUUGCCUCAUGGUUUGGUUUUCUAUCUCUUCUAACAUCUUUGUAACCAGUUUCCCAUAUUAAAUGUUGUCUAUUGAA
Molecule: long non-coding RNA, 6672 nt
Organism: Neofelis nebulosa (Clouded leopard)
Lineage: Eukaryota; Metazoa; Chordata; Mammalia; Carnivora; Felidae
Exons: 2
Source: RefSeq, a predicted model, not a curated record